UAAGAAAACACAAAGCCUAUACAAACAUAUCAUUGCUGUGAGCUUGGAAGCUGCCAUAUUUCCUCGGGAUAUAUUUCUGGUCUGGAAAAACUAACAAGGCUGUGGCAUCCCAAAGAGAACAGAACAUCCCUAGUGGGGAAGAACAGUGGGUGGAGCUGCAGAGAGGUUCUAUAAAGGAGCAAGAACUGAAUGAACAGAGAAGAUAAGGACCCUUGACCUCAAGGGACUUACAAUCUGAUGGGGAAAUAAAUAACAACAUCAGCAUCCAAUAAAUACCCAAAGGACAGUAGCUGGUUUCAUCUUCAUAAAUCCAGCAAAGAACAGAUGGCCACAAGGAUACUAAAUAAACACAAGAAAAGAGCCACAGAAUUGGUUGUAAACAUACUGUCAAGGUCCCUACCUCAGUAUCUCUAAUCUGAGGACUUUCUGUGCCCAUGUCACCUCUACUCAGAAAAGAAAAUAAGCUCCAAGCGAAAGUCGCCAAUUGGUCCACGGGGUGAGGCCAAAUCAAUGCAGCUCUCCAGCAAGUCUGUUUAUUUUAUACCCUUAGAGAAACACCCCUGAAAAUGACCAACUUGUGUCAAUUACAGAACACAAGAGCCUGGUGCUGUCAAUGGGAGAAGAUAAGUGUAAAUUACAGCACACUGAACUCCAGAGAAUUAGCUGUUAAG
This is a long non-coding RNA of Marmota flaviventris (yellow-bellied marmot), 671 nucleotides long. RefSeq lists it as uncharacterized. Lineage: Eukaryota; Metazoa; Chordata; Mammalia; Rodentia; Sciuridae. The record is from RefSeq and is a predicted model, not a curated record.